RNAcentral lists this ribosomal RNA (502 nucleotides) under uncultured bacterium. RNAcentral's name for it is "partial 16S ribosomal RNA". It matches the Rfam family "Bacterial small subunit ribosomal RNA", at positions 30 to 523 of the family's 1533-position model. The record is from RNAcentral.
AUUGAACGCUGGCGGCAUGCCUUACACAUGCAAGUCGAACGGCAGCAUGGGUGCUUGCACCUGAUGGCGAGUGGCGAACGGGUGAGUAAUGCAUCGGAACGUGCCCUGAAGUGGGGGAUAACGUAGCGAAAGUUACGCUAAUACCGCAUAUUCUGUGAGCAGGAAAGCAGGGGAUCGCAAGACCUUGUGCUUUAGGAGCGGCCGAUGUCGGAUUAGCUAGUUGGUGAGGUAAAGGCUCACCAAGGCGACGAUCCGUAGCGGGUCUGAGAGGAUGAUCCGCCACACUGGGACUGAGACACGGCCCAGACUCCUACGGGAGGCAGCAGUGGGGAACUUUGGACAAUGGGCGCAAGCCUGAUCCAGCCAUGCCGCGUGAGUGAAGAAGGCCUUCGGGUUGUAAAGCUCUUUCGGUGGGGAAGAAAUGGUUUCGGUUAAUACCCGGAAUUGAUGACGGUACCCGCAUAAGAAGCACCGGCUAACUACGUGCCAGCAGCCGCAGUAA